AUGCUUUACUGUUUAGAACAGAAGGGGAGCAGGCUAGCGCCACAGGGAUGUUUAGGCAGGACGCGAUGGGUGCGUGACUCCUUGCUCAGCUGCCCUCCUGGUGCAGCUUUCCUGAGAGGAAGACCUGCAUCCUGGCAGAGACACCAGCUGGCCAGACGUGGGCCAAGCCAAGCUGGGCACAAGAGCCAGUGUGGAGGGAAGGAGGGAGCCACCAAACAGAAGAGCAGAGCUCUUGCGUCUUGGAAGCUGCAGACCCAGCUGGCUCUGCCCAGGCAGAAAUGCUCUCAGGCAAGGAAAGGAGGCUGUCCCUGCUGCCAUGGAGGUUUUGAGCAAGUGGCUUCUGAGUUGCACACAUACAACCGAGGGUGCUCUUUACCCAGAUGCUCACUCCAAGACGUUUUGAACCUAGACUCAAAAUUAAAAUAUGGACAAGGAAAACUGUGUCUGGAGGCAGCACAAGGCAAUGACCUAUAAGAAGAGGAAUGGCUAUAAACCAUCAUUUACAGAGAAAAAGCUACUGGUAUAAACACACCAAUAUCUGAAAGCAAGAGUUAGCCACAUGGCCACUGUCCACUACGUCCAGUGUUAGAGCACAUGUGCACAUACAGUUUCCAUCAGUAUUAACACCGGAGAGGUGCUUUAACAGAGAAUGGAAUACAGUAUAAAGUACUUUACUGAUGUUAUUGCUUUUUCUCUUUAUAUCUUAUGCAGGUAGUCUGUGCCUUUGCAGCCUGAAAGAGCAUGUUGCUGUUGGACAAAAUAUCAUGACUUAUACCUCCUGAUAUGCUAUUAUCAGUACAACAUUUUGGAUAUAUGUACAACCUCAAUGCUUUCUUCAUGUAGCAUCGUACACACAUAGGCACACUGGUGUUUGACCACUACCUUGCACUGGUUCAGGUCCCACUGCUUUUGGAAGUACUAUAACAUAUAGUACUCCAUAUUUUUAAUAAUGGCAUCUUAUCCAUUAGCCAUUAGCCAAUGAAAAUGACUGCUAAAAUAUGAAGAUACAUAGAGAACUGAUAUACCAGUAAAAAAUUAAUUAGUGAUAUAAUAUUAAAAAAAAAAAAUUUCUCAAUGACAUAGAAAAAUGACAGAUGUUUGUAGAAGUACAUCUGGACUUCUCAAAAAGUAAAUACCACAGGCAUCAAGCAGCACUCAGAAUGAGUUGUAAACAGCUUGUUACAUCUUUCUCACAUCAUGUAAAAUGAUCUCCCCUAUAUAACUUAAGAAAUUUUCUUUAGAAGACUUGCCUUCAGAGAAAACACCAGCACCAGCAAGGUUCACAAGCUUUUAUAAAACUCCAGGGAAAAUUGAAUCUAAUAAAAUGCAGAGAAAUUUGAUGGAUUUAAAACUG
RNAcentral lists this long non-coding RNA (1354 nucleotides) under Anser cygnoides (Swan goose). Its description in RNAcentral is "lncRNA (ENSACDG00005010667.1)". The record is from RNAcentral. Lineage: Eukaryota; Metazoa; Chordata; Aves; Anseriformes; Anatidae.